ACUAAGCGUACACGGUGGAUGCCCUGGCAGUCAGAGGCGAUGAAGGACGUGCUAAUCUGCGAAAAGCGCCGGCGAGGUGAUAUGAACCUUUGACCCGGCGAUGUCCGAAUGGGGAAACCCAGUGCAAUCCGUUGCACUAUCGUUAACUGAAUACAUAGGUUAACGAGGCGAACUGAAACAUCUAAGUACCCCGAGGAAAAGAAAUCAACCGAGAUUCCCCCAGUAGCGGCGAGCGAACGGGGAGCAGCCCGGAGUCUGAAUCAGCUUGUGUGUUAGUGGAACGGUCUGGAAAGUCCGACGGUACAGGGUGAUAGUCCCGUACACGAAAGCACACAUGCUGUGAACUCGAAGAGUAGGGCGGGACACGUGGUAUCCUGUCUGAAUAUGGGGGGACCAUCCUCCAAGGCUAAAUACUCCUGACUGACCGAUAGUGAACCAGUACCGUGAGGGAAAGGCGAAAAGAACCCCGGCGAGGGGAGUGAAAAAGAACCUGAAACCGUGUACGUACAAGCAGUGGGAGCCUCUUUAUGGGGUGACUGCGUACCUUUUGUAUAAUGGGUCAGCGACUUAUAUUCUGUAGCAAGGUUAACCGUAUAGGGGAGCCGAAGGGAAACCGAGUCUUAACUGGGCGUUAAGUUGCAGGGUAUAGACCCGAAACCCGGUGAUCUAGCCAUGGGCAGGUUGAAGGUUGGGUAACACUAACUGGAGGACCGAACCGACUAAUGUUGAAAAAUUAGCGGAUGACCUGUGGCUGGGGGUGAAAGGCCAAUCAAACCGGGAGAUAGCUGGUUCUCCCCGAAAGCUAUUUAGGUAGCGCCUCGUGAACUCAUCUUCGGGGGUAGAGCACUGUUUCGGCUAGGGGGCCAUCCCGGCUUACCAACCCGAUGCAAACUACGAAUACCGAAGAAUGUUAUCACGGGAGACACACGGCGGGUGCUAACGUCCGUCGUGAAGAGGGAAACAACCCAGACCGCCAGCUAAGGUCCCAAAGUCAUGGUUAAGUGGGAAACGAUGUGGGAAGGCACAGACAGCCAGGAUGUUGGCUUAGAAGCAGCCAUCAUUUAAAGAAAGCGUAAUAGCUCACUGGUCGAGUCGGCCUGCGCGGAAGAUGUAACGGGGCUAAACCAUGCACCGAAGCUGCGGCAGCGACACUAUGUGUUGUUGGGUAGGGGAGCGUUCUGUAAGCCGUUGAAGGUGUGCUGUGAGGCAUGCUGGAGGUAUCAGAAGUGCGAAUGCUGACAUAAGUAACGAUAAAGCGGGUGAAAAGCCCGCUCGCCGGAAGACCAAGGGUUCCUGUCCAACGUUAAUCGGGGCAGGGUGAGUCGACCCCUAAGGCGAGGCCGAAAGGCGUAGUCGAUGGGAAACAGGUUAAUAUUCCUGUACUUGGUGUUACUGCGAAGGGGGGACGGAGAAGGCUAUGUCAGCCGGGCGACGGUUGUCCCGGUUUAAGCAUGUAGGCGGAGGUUCCAGGUAAAUCCGGUACCUUUUAACGCUGAGGUGUGAUGACGAGGCACUACGGUGCUGAAGUGAUAAAUGCCCUGCUUCCAGGAAAAGCCUCUAAGCAUCAGGUAACACGAAAUCGUACCCCAAACCGACACAGGUGGUCAGGUAGAGAAUACCAAGGCGCUUGAGAGAACUCGGGUGAAGGAACUAGGCAAAAUGGUGCCGUAACUUCGGGAGAAGGCACGCUGAUGUGUAGGUGAAGCCCCUGCGGGCGGAGCUGAAAUCAGUCGAAGAUACCAGCUGGCUGCAACUGUUUAUUAAAAACACAGCACUGUGCAAACACGAAAGUGGACGUAUACGGUGUGACGCCUGCCCGGUGCCGGAAGGUUAAUUGAUGGGGUUAGCGGCAACGCGAAGCUCUUGAUCGAAGCCCCGGUAAACGGCGGCCGUAACUAUAACGGUCCUAAGGUAGCGAAAUUCCUUGUCGGGUAAGUUCCGACCUGCACGAAUGGCGUAAUGAUGGCCAGGCUGUCUCCACCCGAGACUCAGUGAAAUUGAACUCGCUGUGAAGAUGCAGUGUACCCGCGGCAAGACGGAAAGACCCCGUGAACCUUUACUAUAGCUUGACACUGAACACUGGUCCUUGAUGUGUAGGAUAGGUGGGAGGCUUUGAAGCGUGGACGCCAGUCUGCGUGGAGCCAACCUUGAAAUACCACCCUUUAAUGGCUGGUGUUCUAACGUAGACCCGUAAUCCGGGUUGCGGACAGUGUCUGGUGGGUAGUUUGACUGGGGCGGUCUCCUCCCAAAGAGUAACGGAGGAGCACGAAGGUUGGCUAAUCCUGGUCGGACAUCAGGAGGUUAGUGCAAUGGCAUAAGCCAGCUUGACUGCGAGCGUGACGGCGCGAGCAGGUGCGAAAGCAGGUCAUAGUGAUCCGGUGGUUCUGAAUGGAAGGGCCAUCGCUCAACGGAUAAAAGGUACUCCGGGGAUAACAGGCUGAUACCGCCCAAGAGUUCAUAUCGACGGCGGUGUUUGGCACCUCGAUGUCGGCUCAUCACAUCCUGGGGCUGAAGUAGGUCCCAAGGGUAUGGCUGUUCGCCAUUUAAAGUGGUACGCGAGCUGGGUUUAGAACGUCGUGAGACAGUUCGGUCCCUAUCUGCCGUGGGCGCUGGAGAAUUGAGGGGGGCUGCUCCUAGUACGAGAGGACCGGAGUGGACGCAUCACUGGUGUUCGGGUUGUCAUGCCAAUGGCACUGCCCGGUAGCUAAAUGCGGAAGAGAUAAGUGCUGAAAGCAUCUAAGCACGAAACUUGCCCCGAGAUGAGUUCUCCCUGAGACCUUGAGUCUCCUGAAGGAACGUUGAAGACGACGACGUUGAUAGGUCGGGUGUGUAAGCGCAGCGAUGCGUUGAGCUAACCGAUACUAAUGAACCGUGAGGCUUAACC
This 2884-nucleotide ribosomal RNA is filed under the name Enterobacter hormaechei YT2. RNAcentral describes it as "bacterial LSU rRNA". It matches the Rfam family "Bacterial large subunit ribosomal RNA". Lineage: Bacteria; Pseudomonadati; Pseudomonadota; Gammaproteobacteria; Enterobacterales; Enterobacteriaceae. The record is from RNAcentral.